Molecule: ribosomal RNA, 230 nt
Filed under: uncultured bacterium
Lineage: Bacteria
Description: partial 16S ribosomal RNA
Rfam family: Bacterial small subunit ribosomal RNA
Source: RNAcentral
AAAGGGUGCGUAGGCGGCCUGUUAAGUCAGGGGUGAAAGACGGUAGCUCAACUAUCGCAGUGCCCUUGAUACUGAUGGGCUUGAAUUGACUAGAGGUAGGCGGAAUGUGACAAGUAGCGGUGAAAUGCAUAGAUAUGUCACAGAACACCGAUUGCGAAGGCAGCUUACUAUGGUCUUAUUGACGCUGAGGCACGAAAGCGUGGGGAUCAAACAGGAUUAGAUACCCUUGU